GAUGAACGCUAGCGAUAGGCUUAACACAUGCAAGUCGAGGGGCAGCAUGAUCUUAGCUUGCUAAGGUCGAUGGCGACCGGCGCACGGGUGCGUAACGCGUAUGCAACUUGCCUUACAGAGGGGGAUAACCCGUUGAAAGACGGACUAAAACCGCAUACACUUGUAUUAUUGCAUGAUAUUACAAGGAAAUAUUUAUAGCUGUAAGAUAGGCAUGCGUCCCAUUAGCUGGUUGGUGAGGUAACGGCUCACCAAGGCGACGAUGGGUAGGGGAACUGAGAGGUUUAUCCCCCACACUGGUACUGAGACACGGACCAGACUCCUACGGGAGGCAGCAGUGAGGAAUAUUGGUCAAUGGGCGAGAGCCUGAACCAGCCAAGUCGCGUGAAGGAAGACAGUCCUAAGGAUUGUAAACUUCUUUUAUACGGGAAUAAACGGGC
This 437-nucleotide ribosomal RNA is filed under the name Porphyromonas gingivalis. RNAcentral describes it as "bacterial SSU rRNA". It matches the Rfam family "Bacterial small subunit ribosomal RNA", at positions 28 to 455 of the family's 1533-position model. The record is from RNAcentral. Lineage: Bacteria; Pseudomonadati; Bacteroidota; Bacteroidia; Bacteroidales; Porphyromonadaceae.